GUAGGGAAUAUUGGGCAAUGGAGGCAACUCUGACCCAGCCAUGCCGCGUGCAGGAUGACGGCCCUCUGGGUUGUAAACUGCUUUUAUACGGGAAGAAAAAAUACUACGUGUAGUAUACUGACGGUACCGUAAGAAUAAGGAUCGGCUAACUCCGUGCCAGCAGCCGCGGUAAUACGGAGGAUCCAAGCGUUGUCCGGAUUUAUUGGGUUUAAAGGGUGCGUAGGCGGAUCUUUAAGUCAGUGGUGAAAGCCUGCAGCUUAACUGUAGAAUUGCCAUUGAAACUGAAGAUCUUGAAUGUGGUUAAAGUAGGCGGAAUGUAUCAUGUAGCGGUGAAAUGCUUAGAUAUGAUGCAGAACACCGAUAGCGAAGGCAGCUUGCUGAACCAUUAUUGACGCUGAGGCACGAAAGCGUGGGGAGCGAACAGGAUUAGAAACCCGAGUAGUCC
Molecule: ribosomal RNA, 445 nt
Filed under: uncultured bacterium
Lineage: Bacteria
Description: partial 16S ribosomal RNA
Rfam family: Bacterial small subunit ribosomal RNA
Source: RNAcentral